This is a long non-coding RNA of Gasterosteus aculeatus aculeatus (three-spined stickleback), 3169 nucleotides long. The record is from Ensembl. Lineage: Eukaryota; Metazoa; Chordata; Actinopteri; Perciformes; Gasterosteidae.
CUCUACUUCUCUGUAGUGACCAGCAGGGGGCGACUCCUCUGCUCCCAUAGACGUCUAUGAGGAAAUGACUCUACUUCUCUCUGGAUUUAUUCCCUCAGUAAACGUUGUAAACAUCAGUUUAUGGUCUCAGUCUCUAGUUUAAAGUCUUCUUCAACACAACAUGAUGUUCAUUUAGUGAUUUAUGGUCCAUUUAGAGUCAAACAGACCAUGAAGCAGGGGAUGUUUUAAGGCGGGGCUAGACGCUGAUUGACAGGUCCCUAUAGAGACAUAAACAGCUUCUUUCCCACCUGAUGCUCCUUCCUGCUCCCUGCAGCCGUUGCCUCGGCGACACUGUAGAGCGACAGGUCGUAGCGGUCGACGUGACCUUGCGAGGGGCGCCAGGAGAAGGAGAGCGAGGAGGUGUUGGAGGAGGUGACGGUCAGAUUACUGACGGCCGCCGGACCUGAAACAGGAAAUUCAAAACAUGCUAAACUGCACAACAAACGGUUGCUGGAGAGCUUUUGGUCGGCCGGGGCGUCUGAUUGGUCGGCGUGACUCACGGGUCUGCCCCUCCGCCGUGGCCUCCGGCGACAGAACGCCGCCGCUGAGCGUGAUCACCUUCACCCGGUACCACCGCCCCGAGGUCAGGCCCUCCAGGCGCUCGCUGUGGCGCCCCGCCGGCACGGAGCGCUCGGCCAGGAGGACGCCGGCCUCGUCCAAUAGCUGCAGGCCGUAGCCGUCGUACACGCCCACGGGCCUCUCCCAGCUGACCGUCAGGCUGCGGGCGGUGUGGUCGUUGUCGGCCUGCAGGGCCGUGACGGCGGCCGGAGCUGCAGAGCACGGAAUGAACCACCAUCGUCACACGGAACCUUCUCCUCCCUCCUGAAUCAAUGCAGCGCUGUCUGACCCGUUCUGCCGCUCGCCGCUUUGCUGUUGUUCAGCUUGCCGCUCAGCGAUUGGACGGUGGCGGUGUAGGCGUGGCCCGGCGUCAGGUCCAGGAACUCCAGGUAGGACACGUGUUUGGGGACAGGACGAGUCUCUAUGACAACACCGUCCUGGAGACAGGAAGUGAGGACACAUCGAUCGAUGCUAUGAAUACGUUUUCAUACAGUUUGUCUUCUUUUCUCAGGGUCCUUUUAUAUCUAUAUCUAUAAAUAUAUAUAUACACAGAACACAUAUAUAUAUAUAUGGUAUAUAUUUGUAUUGUAUAUUUGUAUACAGUAUAUACGAUUAUCGUAUAUUACUAUGAGCUUAUCAAGGACAUGUUCCUCUGAGCCAGAUGUCUGCAGCUGGACUCACCGCAGUGGACAAGGACACAAUGUACAUGUCCAGGUCCCCGUCUCCAGGGGUCCAGGAGACCAGCAGCCCGCCGACGGGGGCCUUCAGGCCGGCGUAGGGCGCCAGGCGCAGGUUCCCCACCGCACUGGGAACUGCAGAAGAAGAGUCCUGGUUCAGAUGAAGCAACCUGGACCCCAGUGUCCCCCCCAGUGUCCCCGGUCCCAGUGUCCCGGUCCCAUGUCCCCGGUCCCAGUGUCCCCGGUCCCAGUGUUAGACACUCAACAAUGCGACGCAACUAGAGGAAGGGGGGCUGGACCGGGUGCAUUGCCCCCCCUCGAGGUCUCACCUGUCCGUCCCUCGAUGAACUGGGCCCUCUGGUUCGGCCCACUGAAGGUGGACACCACGAUCUUGUAGAGGCGUCCCGGGGUCAGGGAGGUCAGCCGGUGGCGUCGCGUCUCGCUGCCCAGCGUGACGGGGGGGAACGCCCUGACGUCGUUGAAGAGGAGCGUCACCUGGAGACCAGAGACCACGCGUAACCAUGACGACUCACUUUGUGAGUGGGUCCUAUGUAACGUGUGGGCGCACACCUCGUAGUGGUCCACAUCCCCGGGGGCGGGGCUCCACGCGACGGUCAGCUCGCCGGUUCCUUCGUUGCCUAGCGACAGGUUUCCAACAGCCGCCGGAACUAAAGGACGGGACCCAAAACGUCAACCCGACAACAUGGACCACCAGAACCUGGUCCCCGUGGUCACCGACUCACAUGUGCGUCCGUCGGUGGAGACGCUGGCCACGUACUCCCCGCUCCAGGUUUCCACGGUGAGGGUGUAGAGUCUCCCCGGCGUCAGCGACGAGAAGACGCACUCGUUGUGGGCGGCGGAGACGCUCUGGUUCUGAAGAACACUGUUGUUGUAACGGAUCAGAACCACGUAGCGGUCCAGGUCUCCUGCUGCACGGCUCCAGUACACCUGAGUACACAACACAGUACACAACACAGUACACCUGAGUACACAACACAGUACACAACACAGUACACAACACAGUACACCUGAGUACACAACACAGUACACAACACAGUACACCUGAGUACACAACACAGUACACCUGAGUACAGGAGGAACGCACCUUGAGGAAGUCGUCUCUCGCAGAGUGAACAGCUGUCGGGUUUUGAACGGUUUCUGGUUCUGAAAAUAAAAAACACUUUUACGUUGUGAUUUUUUAUUAGUUUUAGAGAAUUAAAGAAAUAAAACGGAACAUAAAAUACACAAAAAUUAGUAAAUUAAACUAAUAAUUAAGACAAAUUCACAAAAGAGUAAAAUAUCCUCACGCGUGCGCGCUUGAACCACGGUGGCGUUCUCCAGGCCGCCGCUCCUCGUCGCUAUGACGACGGCGUACAGUCGCCCGGCGACGAGCGAGCUGAAGGAGCACUCGGGGGCGGAGGAGUGCGACACGGCGAGCGCGUGGACGGUGCGACUCCCGUCCACCAGGCGCACCAGGUAGCUGUCCACCACGCCGGGGGCCGGGCGCCACGCCGCCCGCAGGGCGUCCGACCGGCCGCUGUUAGAGACCGUCACCUCGGAGACCGACGCCGGGGCUGAGGGUCAGAGGUCAACCCAUCAAGGUCGGGUUGUGUGUUUCAUUCAGAUAAUAAAAGGUUGUGUGAAGUCAAUAAGUGCAUAUCAUUCAGUUAAACAGUUAACUAAUACAAACUAUAUUAACUAUAACUAAUUAACUAUAUUAUUAUUAUUAUUAUGAGUAACGCUGGUUGUUUAUGAGCGCUGAUUGGUCGCCAUGUGAACGCACACAAACAGGCGCAGUUUGUUCUGAAAAUAACUGGGACAUUAUGUGGCAACACAAUAGGUGAAGGAAUGUGAGUGUGUGUGUGUGUGUGUGUGUGUGUGUGUGUGUGUGUGUG